AGAACUGGUACGGACAAGGGGA
Molecule: non-coding RNA, 22 nt
Filed under: Arabidopsis thaliana (thale cress)
Lineage: Eukaryota; Viridiplantae; Streptophyta; Magnoliopsida; Brassicales; Brassicaceae
Source: RNAcentral